Molecule: ribosomal RNA, 460 nt
Filed under: uncultured bacterium
Lineage: Bacteria
Description: bacterial SSU rRNA
Rfam family: Bacterial small subunit ribosomal RNA
Source: RNAcentral
AGGAGGCAGCAGUGGGGAAUAUUGGACAAUGGGGGCAACCCUGAUCCAGCAAUGCCGCGUGUGUGAAGAAGGCCUGCGGGUUGUAAAGCACUUUUGUUCGAGACGAAAUCGUGCAGGUUAAUACCUUGUACGGAUGACGGUAUCGAAAGAAUAAGCACCGGCUAACUUCGUGCCAGCAGCCGCGGUAAUACGAAGGGUGCAAGCGUUAAUCGGAAUUACUGGGCGUAAAGCGUGCGUAGACGGCGCAUUAAGUCAGCUGUGAAACCCCCGGGCUCAACCUGGGACCUGCAGCUGAUACUGAUGUGCUUGGAGUCUGAGAGAGGGUGGUGGAAUUCCUGGUGUAGCGGUGAAAUGCGUAGAGAUCAGGAGGAACACUAGUGGCGAAGGCGGCCACCUGGCUUAAGACUGACGUUGAGGCACGAAAGCGUGGGGAGCAAACAGGAUUAGAUACCCUGGUAGU